Molecule: RNA transcript, 4870 nt
Organism: Frieseomelitta varia
Lineage: Eukaryota; Metazoa; Arthropoda; Insecta; Hymenoptera; Apidae
Gene name: WD repeat-containing protein 20
Exons: 5
Source: RefSeq, a predicted model, not a curated record
CGAGGUUGAGAGUAUGAGCUGCGGGUCGUAAAUGCACGACGGGCAGUUUCGAUAUAGAACUUGGAGCGCCCUUAGCAGCGGUUGUAUGCAGAACCGGUAAGCUGUGAUUAUCUGGAAGUUUUUCAAUACAAGGGACUGCCUAGUUGGUGUUUGACAGCUUUUGUAAGCUCUCCGAGGAGAAAUUAUUGACAGACGUGUAGAAAGGCAGAAACCAACGCAAGUUUUUUCGUGUCUGAUGAGCUCCUCCGUCGCACCGCUGGUGGUAAGAUGGCUGUGCAGUUGGAUGGAGGAGGGAAGGAGGACUUGAAAACACAGUUUGUCACGCGGGAAGGAACUUACAAGCUAAUGACUUUGUCGGAGUACUCAAGACCAAACAGGGUCGGUUACACGAAUAGUCAAGGAAGUGCAUCCGUUAGGGUGUCUUUCGUAACUUUACCGGAUCCAGCAGAUCCCACGGGUACACAAGGACUUGGUGACCGAAUGUGUUUCAAUUUUGGCAAAGAGCUUUAUGUUUAUGUCUAUCGAGGAGUUAAAAAGGCUGUGGACUUAAAUAAACCAGUGGACAAAAAAUUAUACAAAGGAACUAAUCCAACUUGCCAUAAUUUCAAUCAAACAACUGCAACUGCGGAUAGUGCACCAUUAUUGGUUGGUUUUUCUACAGGUCAAAUUCAACUGAUAGAUCCAAUAAAAAAGGAACUCAGUAAAUUAUAUAAUGAAGAUAGAUUGAUUGAUAAAAGUAAAGUGACGUGUAUAAAAUGGGUUCCUGGAUCAAACAAUCUUUUCUUGGUAUCCCAUAGUUCUGGGCAACUAUAUUUAUAUAAUGAAGAACUUUUAUGUGGUACCACAGCCCCUCACUAUCAAUCUUUUAAAUCUGGGGAUGGUUAUGCUAUAUAUACCUGUAAAACAAAAUCUACGAGAAAUCCAUUAUAUAGAUGGGUAAUAGGUGCAGAAGGAUGUUGUAUAAACGAAUUUGCCUUUAGCCCAUGUGGUUCAAAUUUAGCAGUUGUUUCCCAAGAUGGAUUCCUACGAGUAUUUCAAUAUAAUACAAUGGAGUUAGUGGGUUCAGCUAGAAGUUAUUUUGGUGGAUUUUUAUGUGUCUGUUGGUCUCCAGAUGGAAGAUAUGUUGUUGUGGGCGGUGAAGAUGAUCUUGUGACAAUUUGGAGUUUUCAUGAAAAGAGAGUGGUAGCUCGGGGUCAAGGUCAUCAUAGUUGGGUAAGCGUAGUAGCUUUUGAUCCUUAUACUACUUCCUAUGGAGAUCAUGAUCCAGACUUUAGUGGUUCAGAUGAUGAAACACUACCACACAAUAACCAUAAUCAUUACCAUGAGAAGGCCAAUCGUUUGUCUACAACCUCACAAGGAAUUCAUUCAAACAGAAACUCUUGUGGUUCAGAAUUAAGAGUGUCUGGUGGUACAUGCUAUAGGUUAGGUAGUGUAUCACAAGAUACUCAGUUGUGUUUGUGGGAUAUCACAGAAGAUGUGUUAAGACAACCAAUGUGUGCAAAACAAAGGCCAUCUGCAGCAGGUUCUAGUACUCUUCCUACAUCUGGAACAGUCAACAGUGGAAAUGGUUCGACAACGAAUCACCAUUUGAACAAUUCUAAACAUAAUAAUUUGAAUAAUAUUAAUUGCAAAGAAAACGCGAGUGGUAAUAAUGAUAGUAGUAAUAAUAGCAUGAGUACAAAUACAGCAGUGUCAACUGUAAAUUCUUUGACACAAAGGUUAGCAGGCCUUGGUUUUGGUGAACGUAAAGGUGAUAAUCAUAAAAGGAACUUUAGCCUCACUAUGAGAGGUAGUGGUGCAUCUAAUAGCACAAUAAUACAGAACAGUAGUGGUGAUAAAGCUACCACUAAUUUAAAUACAAGUAGUAAUUUGAACAGUGUCAGUGGAAGUUUAGUAGGUGCAAAUAAGAAGGUUAGUUCUGUGAUGGACGAUCCUAUGAGAUUGAUAGGAACUGCCUGGUGCCCUAGAUUUGAUGAGUGCCCAGUGCUAGAACCACUGGUGUGCAAGAAGUUGGCACACGAAAGAUUGACUGAAUUAGUGUUUAGGGAAGAUUGCUUCGUAACAGCAUGUCAAGACGGAUAUGUCUACACAUGGGCAAGGCCUGGUCACAUGUGACAGUCUUAUAAUUUUAUCGGAAGAUGCUUGUGCUUGUUUCUUAAGCCGGUGGGACAUUAAUUUUUUACUUUGAUUGGAAAGAUUAAUGUUCUGUACCAUGCUUUGGCUGAUGCAAGAGAAUCAUGGAUGAGUCUUCCCAAAGUUUAUCGCAUGCCAGGAAUAGGACAGGUUGGAAAUGCUCUCCACGUUGUCAGUCCUGCGGAAGGGGGUGGUACCAUAGUAUAGCCAGAACCAGAUAUUAAUACAUCUUCAAAGCACGAAGAAAAAUACGUCCCAUUAAUGCGUACACUGCAAUCUUCCAAAAUGCAGUUUCAACCAUAUACCCAUUAUCGUCACUUGUAUUAUGUAUGGCCAAGUGAAAAUUAUUCCAGUGUUGUUUGAAAAAUGGGUGAUUUCAAAAGCAUCUAACAAUUGAUUGCUUAAAAAUACAUUUUUAUUUGGUAAGUUAUUUUUGGUGAAUUGCCCUUCUUUUCUAAUUUAUUUUUUCUUUUUUAAACGCAAUGAAGACGUUCAAAUUUCAUAAUGUUAUACAAAUUUUAUAAAAGAAUCCAGCGAAAGUAAUACAUAAAUUGUGUGUACAUGUAUAUAUGUAUACAUAUGUAUGUUUGAUCUUACAUACUGUACUAAAUCAUUCCAAUAAGACCCACUUAGGAAAAUUAAUUUCAAUUGAAUGGUGUUAAUACUAAAUGCUUAUAUAUAUUGACAAAAAAUUUUAUAUUACCAAUAUUUAGUUAUAAUUAUGUAGAAAAAUGAUUUUAAAUAGUUAGCUUCUUGUGGCAUAGAUUAAAAAACAGUGCAACUAUUGUAAUCAGUCAGAGCAAUAUGUAAAUAUAAAAUAUUUUAAACAGUAUUUUAAUUUGCAUAUUUGUGUUAUUAGGUAUUAAUUGUUUUUAUUUUGAGUAAUAUUAUAUACAAAAAAAAAAAGAGAAUUAGCUAGUAUACAAAACAGAAUUUAUGUUAUUUCAGUUUUUAAAUUUAAUUCUAGCAAAUAUUAUUUUUUUAUGUCGUUAACUGUAAGAAAUAUUUACUGAAAAUAUAUGUUAUAUCUUCUUUAUGUUUCACUUCUUGUUAAUGCAGUUCAGGUAUAUAGUCGGGUUAUCGCUAACUAAAUUGCCUUAAUAAGAUUGUAAGUUAAAUAAAGAAAAUUUUUAUUUGUUCUAUAAUGUGGUUACACAAAUAUGUUUCUGAGAAACUUGUUCGCUUUAUUGAAAAUCUAUAAUGAGUGCAUCGUCGAUGUACGAUCAGUUGAAAACGUAGUGUAAAAAGUGACUUUAUAUCUGAGAGCUACAAAAUAUUGGUCAUAAAUAAUUAAUUAAAACUCUAACUAAAAAAAUAACUUGUAUAUUUUUACAAUAGUUAUUUUAGAUUUCUAUCUAAUUAUAACUCUGUAUGGAGCUUUUUGAAAGAGCUUGUGAGACAAAUAUUAUAUCUUUUAAUUCAAUUUACAAAGGUUCUAUGUAUUCUUAUUAAAACAUAACAAUGAAUCAUUUUUACAACGAAUAAAUAGAUAUUUUUAUAUAGUUCUCAGAUACGAAAGUCUAUCCCAGUAAACAAAUAAUUGUGAAUGUAUGAACAAAUAGUUACUGAAUAUUCUAAUGAUAGACAGUAUUUCAUAUUGCAUAUUCCAUACGGCGAUACUAUUUAUUACUUUAUAAAAAUAAAUAAUUAAAGAAAUAUAUAUAUAUACAUAUAUAUACACACGUUAAAAUAUUAACGUCAGAAUGUAAAAACGAUUUGUAUUGUUGUAAUUUUUAAACAGUUUGAAACGAUGAUGCAUUUUUUCAUCUAUCAUGGGCAUUUUUUUCAAAAUAUUAUUAAUUUAAUGACGAAAUACAAACGAAAUACAGAAUUGUAAUUAUAUAAAACGUAUUUAUUCAUUAUUAUACAAAGUUAGUAAGUAAACUAUAUGAUUUAGAUAAUUGUGAACCAGUGUUUCUUGGACAAUAAUAUUUGUCAUGGCAUGCAUUCAAAUAAUCAUUAAUAUUUUACGAUUGUGAACAUUAUGGAUUCAAUUCAUAUUUUAAUCAUUGAGAAUCACUGGUCUUGGCGAUACUAUACUUUUUCUGAAAUUUUUUUAUAAAAUUAUCAAAAGUAUUCCAAAAGAUAUUUUUAUGUAUAUUCGUAUACUUUAUGUUAUAAGUAAAUGAAUUAUUCAAUAUAUAUGCGUAUUGUGUAUAUAUUAAUAAUUUCUGUUUUUAUGCAGAUAAAAUUAAUGGAGAGACAGAGGUAAUUCUGUUUUGAAAGGUAUGUUUUAAUAUGUAAAGAAAAACAAUAACAAUUAUGUUUUUAUGUUAAAUUAAUAAACAUAAAAAUGUUAUUGCAAUAAUAACAGCAUCGUAGCUUUCGUGAUAAUUGUCGGUAUUUCAGGCAAGAAUUGACAAGCUUUGUUUUGUUAUUUGAAACUUCACGCUUGAUACCGUCUACUUUUCGAUAAACAAUAAAUAUGUAACAUUGCUCUUUUUCAUUCAAGCUCUUCGAGAUGUACUGUGAUACAUGCGUAUGCUGACAUUGACUAAUUACCUAAUUGUAAGUAACGAAAGUGAGAAUUAUGCUAAUGUCGUGUGUUGAGGCGAAUAAUUAAUUUUCAAGCUGUUGAUUGACUGUUUCUUAUAUCGGUAUGCGUUAUUAAGCCGGAAAUAAUCGGAGGUUGGCCUGUUAGAUACCAAACUAUAUUUCAUUUAUUGAAUCGGAGAUUUAUAAUGUUCCUACAUUGUAAACUAAUUAACGAGUCCAUAAUAAAUAAUGUUUUAUUUCA